Molecule: ribosomal RNA, 443 nt
Filed under: uncultured bacterium
Lineage: Bacteria
Description: bacterial SSU rRNA
Rfam family: Bacterial small subunit ribosomal RNA
Source: RNAcentral
CCUACGGGAGGCAGCAGUGGGGAAUAUUGCACAAUGGGGGAAACUCUGAUGCAGCGACGCCGCGUGAAGGAAGAAGGUUUUCGGAUCGUAAACUUCUAUCAGCAGGGAAGAAGAAAGUGACAGUACCUGACUAAGAAGCGCCGGCUAACUACGUGCCAGCAGCCGCGGUAAUACGUAGGGGGCAAGCGUGAUCCGGAAUCACUGGGUGCAACGGGUGCGUAGGCGGCAGGGCAAGUCAGAUGUGAAAGCCCGGGGCGCAACCCCGGGACUGCAUUUGAAACUGUCUUACUAGAGUGCAGGAGAGGAAAGCCGAAUUCCUAGUGUAGCGGUGAAAUGCGUAGAUAUUAGGACGAACACCCGUGGCGAAGGCGUCUUUCUGGACUUUAACUGACGCUGAGGCACGAAAGCUUGGGGAGCGAACAGGAUUAGAUACCCCAGUAGUC